GUCCCCCGGCUGCCGCCCGCCCCAGAGCGCCGGCUGUGGCGUGGGUGGGCGUGCGCGGCGCGGUUGCCUUCCGCGGUCCUUCGCGCCCCGGCCGAGCUGGCGAGCCCCGCGGUGUGCGGGCCGGCCGCACGGAGCUGGAGGUGCGGCUGCAACGCGGAGGGGCCUGACGGGGACCUCCACCCUCCUCGGCGGGAGCCUCAGGGGGUCCCGGUUUCCUUAAGCAGCAGCUGUGGCCAACCUGUGCGCGCAGGACCGGGCCACGGCGCAGGACCGCGAAGCCGGGCGGCCGCGUCGGCUCCUGCGUAAAUAUUUAUUCCGCAUGUAUUCCAGACAUGGUCUUUGUUCUUCCAGAGCUCACCGUACCCUCGAGGAAACAGGUAUUGAACAAUCAGACUCAUGAUUAAAUGCAACUAUGAUCAGUUCUCAAAUGCAAAGUUGCUAAGGGUUCACGAGGAAACCUAAUCUAAGGAAAUAACCUUUCAGGUUGCCCAGGAGAGGCAGCAGUGAGACACUUCAGGUAGAGAGAAGAAAGUGUGCAGAAGCAGCCUACGCAGGUGGGGUUGAAGUGGAGGGGAUGUGAGACCAGUUGGAGAGGCAGGCAGCAGAAGCCAGAACGUUCAGGACCUUGUGGGCCAUUUUAAAUAAGGAUUUUAUCUUAUGAGCCUUGGCAGGUCACUGAAAGGCUGUAAGGGUUGGGAGUGGGUGACGGUGAUCUCCUUUUAUUUCCUCAAAGAUUGGUGAGGUAACCGUGUAACCAUGUGAACAGCUGAUUGAUGGAAGGUCAGGGUCCUGGCUUGACCUCUUGACACAUCCCUGCCUAAGCUACUUGGUGAGUGUAUAGGGUUUUCAGUUUCUACACCACCCUGCUUUCCUAUGUCCCGGUUUUGGGGGGCUUUCAAAGUGCCUCUCUGUAAUAGUCCCUAGCUUGUUAAUUUUUAAUCUGCUGUAGUUUUAGGAAGGAAGUUAAUUAUCCUUGUUAGAAUUUCCCACCAAGUAAGGAGAUACAGGUUCUGAGGGAGAAGUUCUUUCCUCUGCAUAGACUUGUUGCCAUUUGGUUUCUUAUGUCAGAGAUGGUUCUGCUUAUUUUCUCCUUUUGCAUUGUGUUUCCAGGGAGGCGAAGUUCCUUGAUGCCUGAGUGAGAGAUACAUUAUUGCUAAUAAUACCAUCCCCUCAAAUCCUGCAUUACAGGAUUUUUGUGCAAAUGAAAGAAAGUGUGUAAAUUACUUUGCAAAGCAUUGCGUGCCAUAUGAAUGGAAGUAAUAAUUGUUAUAAUGGCUGCUUAGAGAUCUUCAAAACUAAUUAGUUACCAGAUUUUAGUAUUUGGAAAAUACUCCUUUCUCCUCCCCCCACCCUCCCACAAAAGACACAAAUAUACCUAUCCCUUAUGGACAGUGCAAAUCGUCGUCCUAAGUGCUCAUGUUACCCUUUGUGCCUUGUCUGGCAGGAAACUGAAAGCCAAAUUUGCAGGUUAUUGUAGGAAAUGAGUGGCUCCACAGGGCAUUCAUAUCUAUGUCUUAGCUCUUCCUUUGGUCUUGUUCUUCUAUCUGUAGUUUUCCUGUGCCUGCUUUAUUGGUAUUUUCCUAAUUUAUUAUAGGUAUUCUUAUAAACCACUUCAAAUAUAUGUCUCCACCUACUUUUAACAAGGGUAUUCAGUGUUUCAGAAGGCAGUAUAUAAAACAAUGGCAACUGGCCAACCAUUGUAGCAGGUAAGUACUGUAGACACUGUGCCAAGUGACUGGGAUUCAGACUGAAGCCUUGACCAGCAUUGAAUGUGGAUCAGAAAUCUCUGUGCAUACCAGUUUAGAGCCUUGUAUUAUAGGCCAACUCAUUUGGCCGCCCCCCACCCCCACUGGCUCAUAGGUAAUUUCCUUUGGUGUGAUCUCUGAGUUCCCAAAUUCCAUCAGCCUACCCUGUACCAAGCACUGUUUGUCACUUGGUAAGAGGGCAGGGAUCCAUGAACUUUUAUUCAUUAGGGUUUUUUUUUUUUUUUUUGUCAGCAAAGACCUGAAGAUUCCAGGAUUUGCUAAAUUCAGUCACACCUCACAAGAGUGCGACCAUGUCUUUCAGCCUUUGGUAUGACUCUGGACAGCCACAACUAGACAUGUCUCUUCUGGCAGAAGUAGAUUCAAGUUCCUUAGUGAUUACCUUCUUUCUCUCUCAGUCCUCAAGUUUAAGUCUUUUUUUUUUUUUUUAAGAUUUUAUUUAUUUAUUUGAGAGAGAGCGAGAGAGCAGAAGAGCACAGCUGGGGGAGGGGAGGGGAGGGGCAGAGGGAGAAGCAGACUGUC
Molecule: long non-coding RNA, 2285 nt
Organism: Ailuropoda melanoleuca (giant panda)
Lineage: Eukaryota; Metazoa; Chordata; Mammalia; Carnivora; Ursidae
Source: Ensembl